UGACAUGUCCAGUAUGGUCACCAGAGAUGGAGACCUUCAGUUCGGCUGGCUGGAACACAGGUGCUGCAUGGCUGUCGUCAGCUCGUGUCGUGAGAUGUUGGGUUAAGUCCCGCAACGAGCGCAACCCUCGCUUCUAGUUGCCAGCAUUCAGUUGGGCACUCUAGAGGGACCGCCGGUGAUAAGCCGGAGGAAGGUGGGGAUGACGUCAAGUCCUCAUGGCCCUUACGGGUAGGGCUACACACGUGCUACAAUGGCGGUGACCAGUGGGCAGCGACACAGCGAUGUGAUGCUAAUCCCAAAAAGCCGUCUCAGUUCAGAUUGCAGCCUGCAACUCGGCUGCAUGAAGUUGGAAUCGCUAGUAAUCGCUAAUCAGCAGGUAGCGGUGAAUACGUUCCCGGGCCUUGUACACACCGCCCGUCACACCAUGGGAGUUGGUCAUACCUGAAGACGGUGUUCUAACCCGCAAGGGAGGAAGCCGGCCACGGUGUGGUCAGCGACUGGGGGAAGUCGWACAAGGAUAC
This 521-nucleotide ribosomal RNA is filed under the name uncultured bacterium. RNAcentral's name for it is "bacterial SSU rRNA". It matches the Rfam family "Bacterial small subunit ribosomal RNA", at positions 982 to 1500 of the family's 1533-position model. The record is from RNAcentral.